UUCGGGUCGCCGGCGAGUGGCAAACGGGUGAGUAACACGUGGAUACCUGUCCUGUGGUGGGGAAUAACGUUUAGAAAUGAACGCUAAUACCGCAUAAGCCCUGCGGGGGAAAGAUUUAUCGCCAUAGGAGGGGUCCGCGUCGGAUUAGCUAGUUGGUGGGGUAACGGCCUACCAAGGCGACGAUCCGUAGCUGGUCUGAGAGGAUGAUCAGCCACACUGGGACUGAGACACGGCCCAGACUCCUACGGGAGGCAGCAGUGGGGAAUAUUGCGCAAUGGAGGAAACUCUGACGCAGCGACGCCGCGUGGGUGAAGAAGGCCUUAGGGUUGUAAAGCCCUUUCAGUGGGAAAGAUGAUGACGGUACCCACAGAAGAAGCCCCGGCUAACUCCGUGCCAGCAGCCGCGGUAAUACGGAGGGGGCCAGCGUUGUUCGGAAUUACUGGGCGUAAAGGGCGCGUAGGCGGUUGAUCAAG
RNAcentral lists this ribosomal RNA (473 nucleotides) under uncultured Magnetococcus sp. RNAcentral's name for it is "bacterial SSU rRNA". It matches the Rfam family "Bacterial small subunit ribosomal RNA", at positions 79 to 587 of the family's 1533-position model. Lineage: Bacteria; Pseudomonadati; Pseudomonadota; Magnetococcia; Magnetococcales; Magnetococcaceae. The record is from RNAcentral.